This 253-nucleotide ribosomal RNA is filed under the name uncultured bacterium. RNAcentral describes it as "partial 16S ribosomal RNA". It matches the Rfam family "Bacterial small subunit ribosomal RNA", at positions 524 to 776 of the family's 1533-position model. The record is from RNAcentral.
UACGGAGGGAGCUAGCGUUGUUCGGAAUCAUUGGGCGUAAAGCGCGUGUAGGUGGUCAGUAAAGUCGGGUGUGAAAGCCCUCGGCUCAACCGAGGAAGUGCAUCCGAAACUAACUGGCUAGAAGGUGGCAGAGGGAGGUGGAAUUCCUAGUGUAGAGGUGAAAUUCGUAGAUAUUAGGAGGAAUACCGGUGGCGAAGGCGGCCUCCUGGACCAUUCUUGACACUGAGACGCGAAAGCGUGGGUAGCAAACAGG